GGUUAUGGCUCAGUGGUAGAGCACUUGCCUUGCAUGUAUGAGGCACUAGGUUCGAUCCCCGGCACCA
This 67-nucleotide transfer RNA is filed under the name Marmota marmota marmota (Alpine marmot). It matches the Rfam family "tRNA". From Rfam's summary of the family: Transfer RNA (tRNA) molecules are approximately 80 nucleotides in length. Their secondary structure includes four short double-helical elements and three loops (D, anti-codon, and T loops). Lineage: Eukaryota; Metazoa; Chordata; Mammalia; Rodentia; Sciuridae. The record is from Rfam by way of RNAcentral. RNAcentral also lists the same sequence under 1 other name.